Molecule: long non-coding RNA, 10209 nt
Filed under: Homo sapiens (human)
Lineage: Eukaryota; Metazoa; Chordata; Mammalia; Primates; Hominidae
Description: HSALNT0376441
Source: RNAcentral
CAUAGAAAUUCUACUUCUAAAUAUAUAGCCUAGAGCAAGGAUCAGUGAACUUUCUCAGCAGAGAUCUAGAUAAUAAAUAUUUUAAACUUUGCAGGCCGUAGAGUCUCUGUAGCAACUACUUAUUUGUGUUGUAGCAGUGCAGAAAUGACCACAGAUAAUAAGCAAAUGAGUAUGACUGAACUCCAACAAAAACUUACUUAUGGACAGUAAAAAUUUAAUUUAAAACAAUUUUGUGUGUCAUGAAAAAUUAGUACUAUGGUUUGAAUGCGUCCUCUGAAGUUCAUGUGUUGGAAAUUUAAUCCCCAUUGCAAAAGUGUUGAGAAGUGGGACCUUUAAAAAGUGAUUAGGUAAUGAGGGCUCUGCCUUCAUGAAUGGAUUAAUGUUGCUAUCAUUGGAGUGCAUUUAUUAUCACAAGAGUAGGUUUGUCAUAAAAGCGAGUUUGGCUGUCUCUUGCUCCCUCUCAGUGUGAUGUCUUCCUCAUUUCCUCCAUGUUAUGAUACAGUAAGAAGGCCCUCGCCAGAUGUGGCUCUUGAUUUUGGGCUUCCCAGCCUCCAGAACCAUGAGCCAAAUAAAUUCCUGUUCAUUAUAAGUUACUCAGUCUAUGCUAUUUUAUUAUAGUGGCAAAAAACGAAGAUAAUUAGUCUUCUUUUCAAUCUUUUAAAAAUACAAAAUCCAUUCUUAGCUCACUGGCUUUACAAAACAGGUGGCAGGCUGGAUUUUGACUCCUGUAUUUCAAAUUCCACUGAUCCCUGGGCUUCAAAUUUGACUUUGUGUCAAGCAAGUUCAUCAGCAUCAUUUUUCCCACCAAUGUAUGCUCACUUUGUGUCUCUGUGACAUAUUUUGGUAAUUCUUAUAAUUUUCAAACGUUUGCAUUAUUAUUUUUUAUAGUGAUUUGUGAUAAGUGAUCUUUGAUGUUAUUGUUGUGUUUUUGGGUCCCAUUAAUGGUGCCCAUAUUAUACAGCAAACUUAAUUAAUAAAGGUUGUAUAUAUUCUGAUUGCUAUACCAACCAACCAUUCCCUCAUCUCCCUCUCCUUGGGCCUCUGUAAUCCCUGAGACAUAACAAUGUUGAAAUUAGGCCAAUUAAUAACCCUGCAAUGGUCUCAAGUGUUCAAGAAAGUGUUCAAGAAAAAGAAAGCGUUGCACAUCUCUCACUUUGAAUAAAAAUCUAGAAAGGAUUAAGUUUAGUUUUGAGGAAGGUAUGCCAAAAGCCAAAGUAGACUGAAAACUGAGCCUCCUGCACCAAACAGCCAAGUUAUGAAUACAAAGGAAAAUUUCUGGAAUAAAAUUAAAAGGGCUAUUCCAGUAAACACACAAAUAAUAAAAAAGUGAAACAAUCUUAUUACUAAUAUGGAGAAAGUUUUAGUUGUCAAUAAAAGAUCAAAUCAACCACAACAUCCUCCUAAGCCAAAGCCUAAUCCAGAGCAAGGCCCUACUUCUCUUCAAUUCUAUCAAGGUAGAGAGAGGUCAAGAAGUUGCAGAAGAAAAGUUUGACAUAGCAGAGGUUCAUGAAGUUUAAGGAAAGAAGCUGUUUCCACAGCAUAAAAAAUGCAAUGUAAAGCAGCAAGUGCUGAUAUAGAAGCUAUAGCAAAUUAUUCAGAUCAGGCUAAAGUUAUUCUUGCAGGUUGCAACACUAAACAGAUUUUCAAUGGAGAUGAACUCUCCUGUUAGGGUCUAAUGCAGGUGGUGACUUUAAGUUGAAGCCAAUGAUCAUUUACCAUUCUGCUAAUCCUAUUGCCCUUGACAAUUAUGCUAACUCUACUCUACCAUGCUUUAUAGAUGGACAAAAGCCUGGAUGACAGCACAUCUGUUGAAAGCAUGGUUUACUGAAUAUUUUAAGCCCAUUGCUGAGAUCUAAUGCUUGGAAAAAAAUAAUUCCUUUCAGAAUAUUGCUGCUCAUUGACAAUACACUUGGUUGCCCAAGAGUUCUGAUAGACAUAUACAAAGAAAUUGAUCUUGUUUUCAUGCCUGCUAACACAAGAUCUGUCUGCAGUCCAUGGAUCAAGCAUAAUUUCAACUUCAAGCCUUAUUAUUUAAGAAAUACAUUUUGUAAGACCAUAGCUGACAUAGAUUGUAAUUCUUCUGGUGGAUCUGGGAAAAGUCAGUUAAAAUCUUCUGAAAAGGAUUCACAAUUCUAGAUGCCAAAGGGAACAUUUAUGAUUCACAGGAAGAGGUCAAAAUAUAAACAUUAACAGGAGUUUGGAAGAAGUUCAUUCCAACCCUCAUGAAUGACUUUGAGGGGUUCAAGACUUCAGUAGAGAAAGUAACUGCAGGUGUGGUGGAAAUAGCAAGAGAACCAGAAUUGGAAGUGGAUCCUGAAGAUGUAUCUGAAUUGCUGAAAUCUCAUGAUAAAACUUGAACAAAUUGGGAGUUGCUUCUUAUGGAUGAGCAAAGAAAGUGGUUUCUUGAGAUGGCAUGUCAAGAAUAUCAAGAAUAGCAUCUGGGGAAGAUGUUGUGAAUACUGUUGAAAUAACAAUCAAGGAUUUAAACUAUUCCAUAAAGUUAGUUGAUAAAGCAGAAGCCAGUUUUGAGAGGACUCAAUCCAAUUUUAAAAGAAGUUCUACUGUGCAUAAAAUGCUGUCAAAUAGUAUCAUAUACCACACAAAAAUCUUUCAUGUAAAGAAGAGUCAAUUGAUGUGGAAAACUUCAUUGUUGCCUCUUUUUUGUUUGUUUGUUUGUUUUGAGAAGGAGUCUUGCUCUGCCACCCAGGCUGGAGUGCAGUGGAGCGAUCUCCGCUCGCUGCAAGCUCCGCCUUCCGGGUUCACGCCAUUCUCCUGGCUCAGCCACCCAAGUAGCUGGGGACUACAGGCGCCCGCCACCACGCCCGGUUAAUUUUUUUGUAUUUUUAGUAGAGACAGGGUUUCACUGUGUUAGCUAGGAUGGUCUCGAUCUCCUGACCUGGUGAUCUGCCCGCCUCGGCCUCCCAAAGUGCUGGGAUUACAGGCGUGAGCCACCACACCCAGCCGCAAUUGUUGCCUUUUUUUAAGCAAUUGCCACAACCCCCACCACCCCCAACCUUCAGUAACCACCACCCUACUCAUCAGAAGUCAUCAACAUUGAGGCAACAUCCUCCACCAACAAAAAGAUUACUACUUGCUGAAGGCUCCAAUGAUUGUUAGCAUUUUUUUUUUGCAAUAAGGUAUUUUAAAUUAAAGUAUGUCUAUUUUUAGACAUAAUGCUAUUGAUUAUGUCUUAUAAUCAAUAAUCAACACUUAAUAGAUUACAGUAUAGUGUAAGCAUGACUUUUCAAUGCAUUGGGAAGCCAAACAAUUCAUUUGACUAUCUUUAUUGUGAUAUUUGCUUUAUUGUGAUGGUCUGGAACCAAACUUGUAAUAUUUCCAAGGUAUGCCUAUAAUUUAUUUGGGAGGUGAUCUCAGAAAAGGAUGAGUGGGGAAGUGGAGAUAUGAGAUAGGAAAAGGCAGGAAACCCAAGGGUGCAGAAUCAACAAAUUAUCACCAUGGGAUGUGAGGCAAGUACUGGUGGGGAAAAUACCUCAGAGUUGUCUCACAAUAGGUGUAAAAACAGGUAGGGUAUUUAUCCACCAAAUCCUGGCCUAUCAUUGAAUGAAAGCUGCUUCAGUCUCUCUGGCAUUUCAACUUGCCCUGCAAGUGAGCUGAGUGUGCUCUGAGCAUGCCAGAACAGACACCUUUCAGCAGAGUGCUGCAGGUGUCCACAGGAAGCAGCCUUCAAUCUGGAGAAGUGAGUGCCAAGGGUAUAAGAGCAAAAAACAGUAUCUGCUAAAUUGCAAACAGUUACAACCAUGAAUCUGAAAAUAGAUGAACUGUCAUUUGCUCAAAGGAAUAUUAUAUAACAGUUCAGAUGGACAGUGUAGCUCUACAAUAGUGAACAUCAAUAAAUUUCCAAAUAAGAUAUUGAGAAAAAAUGGAAUUUGUAUCAUAAUAAUUAAUAUAUGUAACAUUUCCAUGCAGUUUAAAAGAAUGAAAAACUAUAGCAAAUUCAGGAAGAGCAGGUGCAUUUAGAGAAUAGCAGAAAGAAAAGAAGGAAAGUUACACAAAGGACCUCAGCUUUAUUUCUGGUUUUUUGUUUUUUUAAAAAGCCAAACAUGGAAAAAUGUUAAGUAUAAAAAAUCUGGGUGUGCAUACGUGAGUAUUCAUAUUAAUAUUUUCAUAUUUUUCUUUAUAUGAUUUAUAUCAAAUAACAGAAAGUUUUAAAGAAAUGAGCUAGCUUAAAUCUAGGUUGUUCUUAUUAAAAAUCCAAGCUUCUAGAAGAAAGUGAAGUAGGUGUGAAGAAAAAUAUAAAACAUUGAUAGUAUCUGAUGUGGAAGUUUUCAAUAUUGAUUAUUUGUAAAAACAUCAUUAAUUUUGAUAGAGAAUGAUAGCAAGGAUAUGACACAUGUAAAUAACUUCUAUAAUAAAAUAGCUAUGAGGAUUAAAAAAGCAGUUGGCAAAAUAUCUUAAAAAGAUUAAGUGCUAUACAGUGUAACUAGUAUAAUUAUUACUAAAUUGCAGUGACAUUGUGAAAUGUUCCAAUGCCAGUUGUUGAAUAUUUACGGAAAUUAUUGCCUUGUCUUUUGUCAAAACAAAACAGAAUUUCCUUUUUCUCCAUAUUUUUCCUGUUAUGAUAGGAGGAUUCUGGUUUUUGAUAAAAUUUUAUGCACAUUUUAUCAUUUGGAAGUAUGAAAAGCUGAAACUUUAAAAAAGACUGAAUGUUGCUUGUGCUUUACACAUAUUCAUGGCAAGAAUGACAGUAAAAAUAUGUCUACAAAUAUCUAGUGCUUACAAUAUUCUAGCAGUGGGAUAAAUGCUUUCCAUAUAUACUCUCAUACAGUCCUUAUUACAACGUUGUUAUGGAAGUUUCUGUUUUCCUUACUUUGUAGAUGGGGAAAGUGAAACACCGCUCAGUGUAAGUGGCUUGCCCAAGAAUAUAAAGUUAGGACAUGGAGUGGCCAGGACUUGAAAUGACUGCUGUUAGCUCAUUAAAAGCCUGCACCUUUAGUCACUCUGCUGUACAUUGCCCCCACAAAAGGAAAAAAAAAGUUAGUUAAAUUCCACUAUACAAAGCAACAAAGCAUCAAAUUUUAUUUUAAUAUUUCUCAAAAUAAAUUGGCCAUUAUUAGGUUUUAGAAAUCUUUAGGGUCAUAAGCACUCCAUUAUAAUGUUUUAUUGUAAUAAGAUUUAGUCUAUUUGCGAUAAUCCACUUUGCAAUUGCACAUUUGUAAUGUUUACAUGUUACAUUAUAUUAUGCAAGAGGGCUAAGACAAUUUAAUAUACCUGUGACUGGCAUGCACUUACUAGAACUUAAGGAGAUUCACUUUAAGAAAACCCUCCUUUGGAAUGUAUGUAUGAAUGGUGCUGCUUCUGGCAGUAUAUGUAACACUUCAGCACCUGGCCAGUGUUUGACCUUGCCUACUCUUGUCAAACACAAAAAGUGUUAAUAGUCUCAGUGAGAAACCUGGCUGUCACCAUUAUGCUAGGAACAGGUUACUAGGUGUGGGACUGACACAGCACACUUGCACAGGUUUUGUAUGAGCUAGUCCUGAGCUUUGACUGCUCUCCUUGCCUCUCAUCUGAGAUCAUGACCCUUCAAGCUGUCUGGUCAAGACUCUGUUAAGAACAAAUGGUGUACUGUUUAGUCAAUUGUGUUAUGCUACUUACAACCCAAAAAUUAUAGUAGCUUACAAUAUUUAUUCCUUUACAUGAGUGAUGCAGGUCAGCUGCAGACAUGUUGGUUACAUAGGUAACCAGAUAUGGACUUCACUGGGCUGCACUAGGUCCAGUGGGCCAUUCUUGUAUGGCUACUUGUCCCGAGAUCCAGAAUUAAGUAGUGGCCACUGCCUAGGGCAUGGUGUUCCCAUGGUAGAGGGAAAUGUUAAGGGUAAAGGGAGAAAAAUCACACAAGCUCAUUUAAAGCUUCUGUUCAGAUGCUGCUUGCCUCACAUCUACAACCGUUCCACUGACCAACCCACGUCAAAUGGCCAUGGACAAAGCUAAUGGGAUGGAAAAGUAUACUCCACCUAUGGGGAAGUAGAGACGGCGUUUCACCACGUUAACCAGGCUGGCCUUGAUCUCCUGACCUCGUGAUCCACCCAUCUCAGCCUCCCAAAGUUCUGGGAUUACAGGUGUGAGCCACUGCGCCCAGUCAACAUGUAAUUUUUUAGUGGGAAAAAGCAUGGAUUAUUGCAAAAAUCAAGAUGCAGACAAAAUGGCAAAUCUGAGAAGAGAUGGACAGGCAAAAUGGAGCACAACGGAGUCACUACUGCUACGUCAGUGUGGAGUCGCACCUUGAGCCAUAGUGUUACUUAACCAUGUUCCUUGAUGGCACACAGAAUGUUAUACUGUAAUAUAGAUGUAAAUAUUAAUAUAAUAUAGAAGCAUAUAGUAUAUAUAUCAUACUGUAAUAUAGAAAUAAAUAUUAUACUUCUGGAAUUCUGGAAAUAGUUCUGUCUGUGAUGUCAUCGGAAAAAAAAACUUGAGGGCUGAGCUAUUUGUCCUCAGUGCCUAGGUUCUGUGGAACCCAGCACAGUGACUUUCAUCCCUGUGAAACCUCAACAAAACACUAGCGAAGGGUGGUCAUUCCCAGUUAUAUAAAGAUCUUUGAUGAUGAUAGGUACACCGGGGUUUCCAACUCAAAUAGUGCACAAGUGAGGAAAUAAUAAUAAAUAUAAGUAAAGUGGGCCAGGUAGAACUACAACAAGCUGGAGUACUCACAGCCCUUAUAAGGGCAGAGUCGCUAUCUGUACCAGCUGAUUGUUGCUAUGUGGAAAUGCAAGCCUAAAGCGCCAAAUACUCUGUUUUUUCCAAAAGAAGUGGGAAAUAGCCUGUAAGUGUCAAAACUAAUUCAACUUUUAAAAGAUCUCCAGGCAGCUCAAACAAAACCUAUCUACAGAUCCCCAGUUUGCAACCUCCUACCAUAAAAGGUCCAUGAGCUUGGUUUAAUGCAGGGUGAAGUUACUUAUCACCUUGGCAUCUCUAUUUGUCUAUCCAAAUAAUAGAGAUAACUAUAAUUCCUUUCUCAUAGCAUUGUUUGAGAAAUAAAAUGUGUUACUACAUGGUAAGCAUUUGCACUGUCUCAUUUUAUGCAUUUUUGUUAUUAAAAAUUAUAUUUUAUGUAUUUGCCUAGAUCCAUCUGAAUGCAAUAUGAUUGAAUAUGUAGUCUAUAAGUCAUAAUUCCCAUGUUUGAUUGCAUAAUCUCAAUAAAGAACCUCACCAAAUCCUUCAAGCUAUAUUAUACAUGAUACAUCCUAUCACAUUCGCAACUUGUGACUAUAGAAACUGAGGUAGAGAGAAGUCAAUUUGUUGUCCAGGUUUGCAAAGAGUCUCUGGCAAUAUAGGAAGUGUCUCCUUGUCUCAGUCACAAGUAUCCUGUAAACUGGAAUGGCCUCUACCAUUGACUUUCAUGAUCACUAAGUUUUCCUUGUGGUUCUCCACGCUUUGACCAUAUCAAAAAAAAACAAGGUUUAUAAAGACAUGGAUAAACUUUAGCCUCUAAAAAGGCUUUAGUUGUGGGUAGACUAUCUAUUUGUAUUCGGGUUUCUGUCUUUCAAGCUAAUUUGUAGAGCUUCACUAAGGAAUCCCACUAAGCAUCACUUAAGAACACAUUUUCAAACUGAAUCUGACAAAAGUAAACAUCCUUGAAAAAUAGGAGCACAGGUAUUCCAAUAUAAUAGCCCCUUGUUUCUCAAAGUGUGGUCCUGGGGCAGCAACAGCAGCAUUAGCUGGGUGCUUAUUAGACAUGCAGAAUCUUAGGCCUCACCCCAGACCUACCGAAUUAGAAUCUUCACUCCCAGGUGAUUUAUGUGUGCAUUAAAUUUGAAUAACACUACUAGCCAACUAAUCUCUAUAAUCUCCUGCAGCUUGUGUGUGACCAAGGAAAGGAAUAGCAAAAAAGGUUCACUUUACAUUUUACAGGGAAGGCUUUUACUAUUUGUUAACUCACUUGAGGGACAUAAACUGUCAAAAGCCAGCCCUCAGCAUCUGUUUAAUUAUACACCUCCAAUGAGUCUGAAAAUUAUGUAAGUUUGUCUUGGACCCAGGCCCUGUUUGCUGGGAGUUGCUUUCAGCUGAGACUGACCAGUGCAUUAUUGUCAGUCAACAUGGCCGCUGAGACCUGCUGCCCAUUUGUCCAAGGACAGCCAGUGAGAAUAUCCCUGUGUUGGUGUGGCCACAGAAUCAGAGAAAGGUGCUAAGUCCGAUAGACCAGUAAAUGUCUUAUCAUUGGCAGCCUUGCUCAUUCCCAAUGGAUGACAGAAGCAAGUAGGUACGCCAUGCUUUUGCAAAAAUGAGGAAAGGUAGGAAAGAAAGGAGAGAGGAUGAGAAGAAGGGAGGAAGGAAAUAAAAACAUUAUCAGGAUAUUUCUUUGCAACUCCCAUUUCCAUCCUUCUUUUGUUCUAGCUAUUGAAAAGCCAGUGCUUCUACAAGUCACCCUGGGCUAAUGAUAGAGCAAGAAAGAGGUAUUCUGUCAAUGACUCUACUAGAGGUAGGUGAGGGGAGACACAGGAUUUGAUAAUCUGUAGACCCACUUCACAGGUGGGAAAACUCUGCCAAGCUUAUUCCUUCACCUUGGUUAGACCCAAGGCAGACAAGCUCUGUUCCUUUAGUGAGGCUAUCCACUUCUAGCCUUGUGUUCAGGCAAGGAAAGGGUGGGUGUGGGUUCAUAGUUUGGCUUCCACAACCUGAUCCAUCCUGCCCUGUCCUGUCCAGUUGGCUGUGUAUCAGUCAACACUCAGUAGGCAGGAUAGCAUGCGACCACCUAUCGGCAUAGCUCAGUGGCUCUCACUGUAAGCAAUAUGCUAAAAUCCACCUUCUAGAAGAGAGAGGUUUAUAAAAUCAGCUCAUCUAUGUUUUAAAAAUUGUCUUAAAUUUUGCUCUAAAUUUUCUGAUUUUGUAGGUAAUACAGAUAUUCCUGAAAAACAGUAUGUGUGUGUACGUGCACUACUUGUUUAAAGAAAUCUCUUAGAGAAGAAUUGGCAGAAAGGCAGUUUACUGGGAACUUAUCCAGCCACGAUGGGUCUGGGCUAAAGUACAUUGGUUUCAUUCUUCAAGUUCUUCAGGUGUCACAGCACUCAACAAACAAAUAUUUUAAAAUACCUUCUAUGUGUUUAGCAUUGUGCUAAUUAACCUAAACCAAGUUGCUCAUAAUGAUAGGAAGAAUUAAUUAGUCAUGUUAAUAUUAUGUUAUUAUGUGAUCAGUAUAGGAGUAUUUGUGUAACACUAGUUCAGUAUGGGACACAUGCAAACAUAUUAAAAACUAAAAACAUGUUCUAGCUGUGAGUAAUUUUUCUUUUAAUAAUUGAGCUUUCAGAAACAUUUCCACAGAAGUCAUUGUCUCUAUACCAUAAGUUAUUUAAAUUGAAGAAAAGCUAUUUGUCAGCUCAACAGGACCUCAGAAUGCAUUACUCUUUUGCAGGAAAGCCAAGGCUUCCUCUGUUUGGGACUUAAGAGAGCAGAAUGUCAAGGUCUCCAGAGAACCUCAUGCAUGAACCAUUGUUUCAUCCAUCAUUUUUUAAAGCAACUAUUUUAGGUGAUUUCUUAUCUGAGCACGAGGAGGGGCGUCAUUCACAGACCCCUAAGAAGCAAGCACCAGGAGCAAGGAUCCCCCUUUGGCUCUCCCUGGCCAAUUAUCCCAUAUCAUAGCCCCUUUGGUUUCUCUUUACAUAGAUCACAAUUUAAAACUGUUUUAUUUAUGUGUCCAUUUAUUUACUUAGUAACUGCUACCUUCCCCCUCCUCUCUAGCCCUUAGUGAAAGCUCCAGGAAGUCAAGAAUCACACCUCUUUUUCCCUUUUUUAUCUCCAAUGUUUACCUCAGUGUCCAGUCUACAAUAAGAAGUCAAUAAAUAGUUUUGAAUUUUAAAAAUGAUGUCUGUUUUACCAAAGCAAAUCAGUGCCAAGGAAAAGGCAAGGCUGUGCCCAGCCUCACUCAGCAUUUGUCUUCCUCCUUCUGCUGUCUAGCUUAGUGUUGUGGGGGACACAGGUAUUCAUCAGAGAGCAUUUCCACCUUGUCAUGAAACGCUACCUUGUAAUCCAGUAGCUAUCACUGCAGUUAAAGCUGAGAAGCCAAAAGAUUUCAAAUAGGAAAACUCUCCAAAAUGAUAUCAUUAUCAAAUGCAUUUGCUAAACAUGUCUAGUGAGUGGCAUGUUGUUUAUGGUUUGGGAAGAGCCUGAAAAGAGUAACUCUUGCUUGCUAUUAUAAAACAUCACAGCAUUCCCUUUCAGGUGAAGUCUAUGUUAUCCAACCUGCAAAUGACUGGAGCA